Long non-coding RNA from Bos taurus (domestic cattle), 390 nucleotides. The record is from Ensembl. Lineage: Eukaryota; Metazoa; Chordata; Mammalia; Artiodactyla; Bovidae.
AAUGAAGGCUACUUCAAUGAAGCUUUUUUCUGAAUUGAAAUAGCCGUUUCAUUGUUUGGAUGGUGACACUAAUUCUCUUGGAUUUUAGUUCCGGGCCAGAGAUCGAAUCCAUGCCCUUAGCAGAAGUGCGAAGUCAACCACUGGACCUCCAGGGAAGUUCCACCAGAACUAUUGCAGCCACCUUGCAACCAUGAGGCAACAAGCAGGAGAAUGAAAGCUAAUUUUCUGAGAAUAACAACACUGGAAGAUAGAAAUUCCUUCUAUCCUUGAUGGCAUGGUUCAGGGGCCCCAACCUCUACAAUCUAAUGCCUGAUGAUCUAAGGUGGAGCUGAUAUAAUAAUAAAGUGCACAAGAACUGUAAUGCACUUGAAUUAUCCUGAAACCAUCCUC